GACGAACGCUGGCGGCGUGCCUAACACAUGCAAGUCAAGGAGAAAGGGGUAGCAAUAUCCCGAGUACACUGGCGCACGGGUGAGUAAGGCGUAGGCAACCUGCCUAUUGGACGGGAAUAACUCAGCGAAAGCUGGACUAAUACCCGAUAAUGCAGCGGCAUCGCAUGAUGAUGUUGUUAAAAGCCCGCAAGGGUGCCAAUAGAUGGGCCUGCGUCCCAUUAGGUAGUUGGUGAGGUAACGGCUCACCAAGCCCACGAUGGGUAGCUGGUCUGAGAGGAUGAUCAGCCACACUGGAACUGAGACACGGUCCAGACUCCUACGGGAGGCAGCAGUGAGGAAUAUUGCGCAAUGGCCGAAAGGCUGACGCAGCGACGCCGCGUGAGGAUGAAGUCCGUAGGAUGUAACCUCUUUGUAGGGAUGAAUGUUCCGUUCACCGGGAUUGACCGUACCUGCGAAUAAGGAUCGG
This 466-nucleotide ribosomal RNA is filed under the name uncultured bacterium. RNAcentral describes it as "bacterial SSU rRNA". It matches the Rfam family "Bacterial small subunit ribosomal RNA", at positions 28 to 496 of the family's 1533-position model. The record is from RNAcentral.